Molecule: long non-coding RNA, 783 nt
Filed under: Homo sapiens (human)
Lineage: Eukaryota; Metazoa; Chordata; Mammalia; Primates; Hominidae
Description: long intergenic non-protein coding RNA 2466
Source: RNAcentral
AGAUUGAGCCUCUUGAAACAUUUGCUCUUGGAAUUCUCCCUCUCAGGAAACUAACAGCCUGCUAUGAAGCCCAAGCCACAAAGAGAGGCCAAGGGGAAAUAAACAGAGUGUGAUUAUAUGCAAAACCUACAAGAAUGAGGACCUCCAAACUCAGUGUACAGAGUGAUUUUCUGCUGAAACAAUUGGAAAAUAAAAGAGACAUCAGUGUGUGAAUGACGACUUUCUGUUGCUGACUUGGAAGACAGAGGAAUUGGGUCAUGAGCCGAGGAAGGUGGGCAGCUUCUAAAAGGCGGAAAAGUGGCUGAAGUGAGAGGAAGCGAGGAUAUGGCUGACAUUCUCCAAGAAGCAGUGACUUCAGAAGAUGACUGGCAUCUUGAACUUCAGGAAAAUGCUUGGCCUUUUUAACUCUGAAAGUCUGUUUGAAACUCAGAAGAAGAAAAUUAGGUGAAUACAAAACUGCUGCCAAACUUAGAAACUUGGUUAAAUAUCCUGCAGAAAAUAUCAUGGGCUUUUCAGAGUCCAGUUAAAUAUCUACAGAUUAUAUUUCCAGUUUCAUACCUGGGGCAUUAACUCUAUUCAUUUUACUAGCUUUAGUGAAUUUUACUUCUGGAGCAUAACAUUGCAUUGAAAAUGUGUCCUCUAACCUAUGAUAUUUAUGUAUCGUUUAAUAUGAAAUUUAUGAGGUUCCAUUUCUGAUUUCCAAAUGGAUGCAAAUUAGAACACAGGAUAUUUACAUUCUUUCAUUUCUAACCCACAUACAUAAAGUUUGACUUUAAAAUGCCA